This 253-nucleotide ribosomal RNA is filed under the name uncultured bacterium. Its description in RNAcentral is "partial 16S ribosomal RNA". It matches the Rfam family "Bacterial small subunit ribosomal RNA", at positions 524 to 776 of the family's 1533-position model. The record is from RNAcentral.
UACGUAGGGUGCGAGCGUUAAUCGGAAUUACUGGGCGUAAAGCGUGCGUAGGCGGUUCGUUAAGUGCGUCGUGAAAGCCCCGGGCUCAACCUGGGAAUGGCGAUGGAAACUGGCGGGCUGGAGUAUGGCAGAGGGGGGUGGAAUUCCGCGUGUAGCAGUGAAAUGCGUAGAGAUGCGGAGGAACACCGAUGGCGAAGGCAGCCUUCUGGGCCAAUACUGACGCUCAUGCACGAAAGCGUGGGGAGCAAACAGG